RNAcentral lists this non-coding RNA (1759 nucleotides) under Cryptosporidium parvum. The record is from RNAcentral. Lineage: Eukaryota; Apicomplexa; Conoidasida; Eucoccidiorida; Cryptosporidiidae.
AUUGGAACAUUUAAAGAAUUAAAUAUUUGACUAUUUAUUCGUCUUCGUCGUCAUCUUCAAUAUCAUCAUCAUCACCCUCACCGCUAUUAGAGUUUAGCCCAAUUUCUUGGUUUAUUAGGCCGGGAAUCAUCCACUGCUUGCUGUUUUCAAUUUCAAUUGCACGUUUUAAUGCAAUACUUUUUUCUAUUUCAAACAUUUGUUUGCUCUCCUCAUUAGUGAAUUCCUUAAUUUGAAUAAGGAAAUCAUGUACAAGUCUUUGAAAGUCAGAGAUGGUUUUGCUAUGAACACUAUUGAAAAGUUCAAGUACAAAGACUUCAACUUGCUCUUUUUGGACGGUAAUGAACGAUUUGAUGAGUAAGUCUGCAAUAUACUCCAUAACUCCUACUUUUGAAAUUUUACAUGUGGUUCCUUGGCAAGAAUCGCAUAUUAAUGAAGAGUUAGAAGCUAUAUUUGUUUGCUUAUUGCCUUGAUUUCCUUCAAAUAGAGAGAAUUCUGAGAUUUUAAUCAGCUCAUAAAGUACCAUUGUUUGGUACUGAAAACCCGAUGUAUGUAAUGUAUCUGUCAAUACACAAAAUAUCUCCCUAAUUAUUGACAAGUAGAAUGCAUGGCAAAAUUGAAAAAGUGUAUUGCUUUGAGCGCAUGAACUCUGAAUACCGUUAUUCUUCGAGCUAUUAUGAUUAAUCAAAUUAAUUAAAAAGUUGUACAAUACAAUUAAUCCUUUUUCCGCCAUAUUUGGUUGUUCAUGUCUAAUAGCCCAAAUAAUACUCUCAAUAUAAAGCGUUAAUAUAUUUCCUGGCAAGUUGAAUAAUUGCAAGAAGCAAAAUUCAUUACAAUCAGCCAGGAAAGAAUAAAAAAACUCUCUAUGGUCUGGGUAUGCAUGAAAAUUGUCCUUAAUCAUGGAUAAAGUGGAUUCGAAGAGAUGGUAAAUGAUAGCAUUAAACAAAUCAUUAUUCGCUUUAACAAUAUCAUUUAAACGCACGAUAAUUGUACUCGAUAAAAUAAGUACUUGAGAUUCCUUAAUCUCAGAAAUGCAUGCAUGGUAAUCUUCUAAAACUGGAAUAAUAAUUGGAUGUAUAAUAUAUUGCAGCAUUUCUGUCCCUGUGAUAUUGUGAUACAAAAUCGAUUGUAUAUCUGUUAUAUAUCCAGAAAGAUUCUUGUUUUCGCUUAACUUGAGUUUUUUUCUAGGUGCGAUAAAAGAAAUAAAAGAGUUAAUUAAUUUAAUUAUUUCUUUUUUGGAAAUUCUUAAUUGCUUAAUAUGAGCAUGGGAAAUAAUUACAAUCCCUUUUCGCUGAACUUCUCCAGCUAUGAAAUUAGAAUAUAAUUUAUAAAGCUCAACUAAGAACGAACUUCUUUCAAUAAGUACACGGGCAAAUCCAACUCCACAGCUAGAUGCAAUUGUUUCCAUAAUGCGUACAAUAAUAAUCAAUUUUUGUGAACAUUCCAUCGAACACAAUUCAUUUAUUAUACCUUGGUUAUCAGGAUUAGAUCUCAAUUCAACCAAUCUGGAGAUAAUGUCCUUCCAAUAUAAACUAUCAAAAAUGAGUAGUAAUUCAGUUACGUACAGAUACUGCUCAUCAACAUCCUUUAGAGAAGAGAUAGUUAAUGAGAUUCCCUGUAUUAGAAUAAGUAUUUGUUUGUCAUCAAGAUGCUGUUUUAGCUCGUGAGAAUAACCUAUCAUAUACUUUAAAAACUUAAUUUCUUGUGAACCGCCGUCAAUAAUUUCUGGCAGCAUUUGAUUACUUGAACUUCUAUUAUUUCC